GAUCUGCCUCAGAGUGGGGGAUAACGACCCGAAAGGGUCGCUAAUACCGCAUAACAUCCUGCCUUUGGAUAGGUGGUGAUCAAAGUUGGGGAUCCGCAAGGACCUGACGCUUGGAGAGGAGCCCGCGGCCGAUUAGCUAGUUGGUGAGGUAACGGCUCACCAAGGCAACGAUCGGUAUCCGGCCUGAGAGGGCGGACGGACACACUGGGACUGAGACACGGCCCAGACUCCUACGGGAGGCAGCAGUGGGGAAUUGUUCGCAAUGGGCGCAAGCCUGACGACGCAACGCCGCGUGGAG
RNAcentral lists this ribosomal RNA (298 nucleotides) under uncultured bacterium. Its description in RNAcentral is "partial 16S ribosomal RNA". It matches the Rfam family "Bacterial small subunit ribosomal RNA", at positions 123 to 406 of the family's 1533-position model. The record is from RNAcentral.